UCCAGGGUAGCCUAGUGGACAUGGAAUCAGCCCGGUAAACGGAAUAUUGUGGGUUAGAUUCCCAUCCCUGGAA
This 73-nucleotide transfer RNA is filed under the name Cordylochernes scorpioides. RNAcentral's name for it is "tRNA-Thr". It matches the Rfam family "tRNA". From Rfam's summary of the family: Transfer RNA (tRNA) molecules are approximately 80 nucleotides in length. Lineage: Eukaryota; Metazoa; Arthropoda; Arachnida; Pseudoscorpiones; Chernetidae. The record is from RNAcentral.